Molecule: ribosomal RNA, 802 nt
Filed under: uncultured bacterium
Lineage: Bacteria
Description: bacterial SSU rRNA
Rfam family: Bacterial small subunit ribosomal RNA
Source: RNAcentral
AGAGUUUGAUCAUGGCUCAGAACGAACGCUGGCGGCGCGUCUUAAGCAUGCAAGUCGAACGGCAAGUCAGGUGCUUGCACCUGGCCUAGAGUGGCGGACUGGUGAGUAACACGUGGGUGACCUACCCUUGAGAUGGGGAUAGCCAUUAGAAAUAGUGGAUAAUACCGAAUACGCUCAUGACCCUGUGGGGAUAUGAGGAAACAGGCUACGGCCUGGCUCGAGGAUGGGCCCGCGUCCCAUUAGCUAGUUGGUGAGGUAAAAGCCCACCAAGGCGACGAUGGGUAUCCGGCCUGAGAGGGUGUACGGACACAUUGGGACUGAGAUACGGCCCAAACUCCUACGGGAGGCAGCAGCUAAGAAUAUUCCGCAAUGGACGAAAGUCUGACGGAGCGACGCCGCGUGGAUGAAGAAGGCCGAAAGGUUGUAAAGUCCUUUUGCUGAUGAAGAAUAAGCGUGGUAGGGAAUGACCGCGUGAUGACAUUAGUCGGUGAAUAAGCCCCGGCUAACUACGUGCCAGCAGCCGCGGUAACACGUAGGGGGCAAGCGUUGUUCGGAAUUAUUGGGCGUAAAGGGCAUGUAGGCGGUUUGGUAAGCCUGAUGUGAAAUCCUGCAGCUUAACUGUAGAACUGCAUUGGGUACUGCCGAACUUGAAUCACUGAGGGGAAACUAGAAUUCCAGGUGUAGGGGUGGAAUCUGUAGAUAUCUGGAAGAAUACCGGUGGCGAAGGCGGGUUUCUAGCAGAUGAUUGACGCUGAGGUGCGAAAGUGCGGGGAGCGAACAGGAUUAGAUACCCUAGUAGUCC